AAUUAUAUAGCCAAAAUUAAAGAAAAUCCAUACACUUCACUGUAACAUAAUACAUAUAAAUCACAACAAAACAAUCACAAGAAAAUGCAAUGUCAUGCAUGAGCUUAGACUGUACUUCACAAUGUGGUACCAUUCUAACUCUGAAGUACUUGGUUAGGAGGCUUGAUACUAUGCCACCAUCCCGAUGGACGGACAAUUCAAAUUGGUCAUGUCCUCAUAGAUCCCCUCAACUCAACCCGAGACACAUAUACGUGACAGUCGAGGUAAACAUGUGUUGCGUGGUAGCUCCCGACAUUUGGAGUGCUACCUCCAAGUCACCUAGGAAUUCCCCACCUGAAUACCUCCAAGGUCUAACAAUCUUGCCUUAAGGCUCGACAGCAGACCGCCACGAUCAGGCUCAUUCAGUUGUACUUCCCCAGAAUCACUAGGUUUGUCAGACCCUACCUAUAUGAUGACAAAAUAAUAUGUACUUCACAAAUUCACAAUAUUUAUUUUCUCCUCUCGUGUGUAUAUGAUACUCCAUUAAAACCGUCAUCUCAAACACAAAUCGAAAUCACCAUUAUUUCAUCAACUAUGGGGUUAAUUCAAUA
RNAcentral lists this long non-coding RNA (590 nucleotides) under Cicer arietinum (chickpea). RNAcentral's name for it is "long non-coding RNA (CARI_LNC002044)". The record is from RNAcentral. Lineage: Eukaryota; Viridiplantae; Streptophyta; Magnoliopsida; Fabales; Fabaceae.